Long non-coding RNA from Carassius gibelio (silver crucian carp), 1231 nucleotides. RefSeq lists it as uncharacterized. The transcript is spliced from 6 exons. The record is from RefSeq and is a predicted model, not a curated record. Lineage: Eukaryota; Metazoa; Chordata; Actinopteri; Cypriniformes; Cyprinidae.
CUCAAAAAAAUGAAAUCUGGGUGUUGUUCGAUAAAAAUAAAUAGAGCAUUUUGAAACAAAUUAAAUUAAUCAGUUUAAGGGAUGUACACAAUUAUUUUAAAUCAGUCUGAACUAAAUCCAUACAACCUUAAAAGAGCUCAAUUCAUUUGUGUCGAAACAACAAAAAAUAAUGAUUCGAGUCAAACUACUACUUUUGCGCAUGCGCUGAUGACAGGAAAUCCACGUGACCUCGUCAGUUAUCGCGGGCGCCAUUAUGUGGUGGAGUCCAGUCUAUGGUGGAAUGCUGUAUAAUUGGUUUUUACAAGAGCUCAUUAAAUGGUAUCCUAUACUUGGGUUAUAGUCUACUUUUUCACAUGGUUUACAAGAGCAAUAAACAGCAUCCCAUGCUUGGGUUUUAGUAAACUUUUUCAUGUGAACAACAGCGUAGACAUGGAAAGAGAAUGCAUCCUCAAAAAGCACUGUGUGUAUACUUAAAGGAGGACCAUCUACAGCUGUUCAAGGAGUACAAUAAAACGUGCAAAUACUGAGUUCUCUUUCAAGUCUUGUGCUUCAGAGGCCAAAUUCGUACAAAAAUUAUAUCAACAUGACCGUCUUGGAUUGCGACUGGAUGAAUUCUAAAGAAGCCAUAGAGCAGAUGGUAAUGGGGAUCUACAUCGUCCAAUUCAUAGACACCAACCAGGGGAUAAACCUGUGGAUGUUGGUAUCCUGAUUGAAGGGACCGAGGUUCUCUGCUCUUUGAAGAACGUGUAGCAGUUGCCAUGCUGUUUGGACUUACUUACGCCUUGAACCUCAGCUACCCACAAGAACUCAAGGCUACAUUUGAGGUCAUCCAGAAAGUGUUCUUUAUCUUGGAUGGACAAAAACUUUCACUAAAGGUACCAGCCCUUAAGAACAAGAUGUUGGAGUAAGUUACCUUAUGUGUGUAUUCUCAAAAGACUAAAUCUUGACUCAAGAAGGUAUUAGCUGUGCAUAUACAUUGAAAUAUAAUGUUGUUCAUCUUGGAUGAUAUUUUUUUGUAUUUUUUUACCUGAAAAUUUGCCUUGAAAUAAGAAUAAAGAGAAACUUUUGACAUUCACUUUGAGAACAUUUUAUUUGUGCAGUAAAUUACAUUUUGAUAGACAUGUCAACAAUUAAACAUUUGUUUGAUGUAAAUAAAGUUGUACAAUUAACUUAACGAUAGUAGUUGACACAAUAUUUCUGGUUUUCUAAAUUAAGUGAUUAAGAUUAAUUG